This 503-nucleotide ribosomal RNA is filed under the name uncultured Pseudomonadota bacterium. Its description in RNAcentral is "bacterial SSU rRNA". It matches the Rfam family "Bacterial small subunit ribosomal RNA", at positions 376 to 896 of the family's 1533-position model. Lineage: Bacteria; Pseudomonadati; Pseudomonadota. The record is from RNAcentral.
CGGCAAGCCUGAUCCAGCCAUGCCGCGUGAGUGAUGAAGGCCUUAGGGUUGUAAAGCUCUUUCACCGGAGAAGAUAAUGACGGUAUCCGGAGAAGAAGCCCCGGCUAACUUCGUGCCAGCAGCCGCGGUAAUACGAAGGGGGCUAGCGUUGUUCGGAAUUACUGGGCGUAAAGCGCACGUAGGCGGACAUUUAAGUCAGGGGUGAAAUCCCAGAGCUCAACUCUGGAACUGCCUUUGAUACUGGGUGUCUAGAGUAUGGAAGAGGUGAGUGGAAUUCCGAGUGUAGAGGUGAAAUUCGUAGAUAUUCGGAGGAACACCAGUGGCGAAGGCGGCUCACUGGUCCAUUACUGACGCUGAGGUGCGAAAGCGUGAGGAGCAAACAGGAUUAGAUACCCUGGUAGUCCACGCCGUAAACGAUGAAUGUUAGCCGUCGGGCAGUUUACUGUUCGGUGGCGCAGCUAACGCAUUAAACAUUCCGCCUGGGGAGUACGGUCGCAAGAUUA